Small nucleolar RNA from Sphaeramia orbicularis (orbiculate cardinalfish), 83 nucleotides. Lineage: Eukaryota; Metazoa; Chordata; Actinopteri; Kurtiformes; Apogonidae. The record is from Ensembl.
CUUGUCAAUGAUGUUUCACACUGUAUGUUCGAGUUUAAUUGACCAUGAGAAAUACUUUACCAUGCACUACCAUCGGAGACAUC